AGAGCGAACGCUGGCGGCAGGCUUAACACAUGCAAGUCGAACGAUCCUUCGGGAUAGUGGCGGACGGGUGAGUAACACGUGGGAACGUGCCUUUAGGUUCGGAACAACACAGGGAAACUUGUGCUAAUACCGGAUGUGCCCUUCGGGGGAAAGAUUUAUCGCCUUUAGAGCGGCCCGCGUCUGAUUAGCUUGUUGGUGAGGUAAAGGCUCACCAAGGCUACGAUCAGUAGCUGGUCUGAGAGGAUGGCCAGCCACAUUGGGACUGAGACACGGCCCAAACUCCUACGGGAGGCAGCAGUGGGGAAUCUUGCGCAAUGGGGGAAACCCUGACGCAGCCAUGCCGCGUGGAUGAUGAAGGUCUUAGGAUUGUAAAAUCCUUUCAGCGGGGACGAUAAUGACGGUACCCGCAGAAGAAGCCCCGGCUAACUUCGCGCCAGCAGCCGC
Molecule: ribosomal RNA, 444 nt
Filed under: uncultured bacterium
Lineage: Bacteria
Description: SSU rRNA
Rfam family: Bacterial small subunit ribosomal RNA
Source: RNAcentral